Pipistrellus kuhlii (Kuhl's pipistrelle) is the source of this 137-nucleotide long non-coding RNA. RefSeq lists it as uncharacterized. The record is from RefSeq and is a predicted model, not a curated record. Lineage: Eukaryota; Metazoa; Chordata; Mammalia; Chiroptera; Vespertilionidae. The transcript is spliced from 3 exons.
UAUAACUAACUGGACAACCUGGGUGAAAUAGAGAUAUUUUUAGAAAAAUACAAUCUUCCAAAGUUCAAUCAGGAAGAAUCAGAAAACCUGAAUAGGCUGAUAACUAUUGAUGAAAUUGAAGCAUGGAACAGUCUUUU